RNAcentral lists this ribosomal RNA (490 nucleotides) under uncultured bacterium. RNAcentral describes it as "partial 16S ribosomal RNA". It matches the Rfam family "Bacterial small subunit ribosomal RNA", at positions 30 to 507 of the family's 1533-position model. The record is from RNAcentral.
AUUGAACGCUGGCGGCAGGCCUAACACAUGCAAGUCGAACGGUAACAGGAAGCAGCUUGCUGCUUUGCUGACGAGUGGCGGACGGGUGAGUAAUGUCUGGGAAACUGUCUGAUGGAGGGGGAUAACUACUGGAAACGGUAGCUAAUACCGCAUAACGUCGCAAGACCAAAGAGGGGGACCUUAGGGCCUCUUGCCAUCGGAUGUGCCCAGAUGGGAUUAGCUAGUAGGUGGGGUAACGGCUCACCUAGGCGACGAUCCCUAGCUGGUCUGAGAGGAUGACCAGCCACACUGGAACUGAGACACGGUCCAGACUCCUACGGGAGGCAGCAGUGGGGAAUAUUGCACAAUGGGCGCAAGCCUGAUGCAGCCAUGCCGCGUGUAUGAAGAAGGCCUUCGGGUUGUAAAGUACUUUCAGCGGGGAGGAAGGGAGUAAAGUUAAUACCUUUGCUCAUUGACGUUACCCGCAGAAGAAGCACCGGCUAACUCCGUG